Galeopterus variegatus (Sunda flying lemur) is the source of this 730-nucleotide long non-coding RNA. RefSeq lists it as uncharacterized. NCBI's taxonomy places the organism in Eukaryota, Metazoa, Chordata, Mammalia, Dermoptera, Cynocephalidae. The record is from RefSeq and is a predicted model, not a curated record. The transcript is spliced from 2 exons.
UCCCAAGUGAUCCACGGGCCAGCCCCAGAGGAAGGAGGAGGAGUCUUAAGCUUGUCUUAAAUUUCAAUUGUAGUCAGUCAUACAGUAUCUAUCCCCCUACCCCACUCAAGAAACAUCUAGAAAUUUUAUGAAAACCAUUAUUGAUCAGCAUUUUUUACAUAAUCUUUUGUUGUCUUAGACACCAACUCUACAGCAUUACUUGUCAUACACUGAAGAAUCCCUUCUUCUUGUUAUGCAGCACCUGGCUAAGAAUAUAGUCAUGGUGAAUCGUGGGCUUACAAAGCACAUGACUAUCAAGAACAAGUAUGCCACGUCUAAGCAUGCUAAGAUCAGCACUCUAGCACAGCUGAAUUCCUCACUAGUUCAAGAUUUAGCCAAGGCUGUGGCAAAGGUGUAACUUGUAAACUUGUGUUGAAGUACUAUAUAUUUGCAAAUAAAAUUGGCACCAUGUGCCACCUAUACAUAGUAUGUUACAUUUAUUUACUUUUAAUAAAGUUUGUGGCCCUUUUUACUUUUUAUAGCUCAUUUGAAUGUGGUUACUUCCUACUCUAGGGAAGUAACCUAAAAGUUGACUUAAAAGGUAUGGUGGGGAAUAUUUUAAAAACUGCUUUUCAGAGUACCUGGGACCCAACUAAUGUAUAUAGUUGUUAGCUUAUGUUUAUAUACCUGGUUCUUCCUGUUUUGUGUGGCUGGUUUUUACUUUAUUAAAUGAGGUAUUGAGGUGGUAAAA